RNAcentral lists this transfer RNA (84 nucleotides) under Methanoplanus endosymbiosus. RNAcentral describes it as "tRNA-Ser". It matches the Rfam family "tRNA". Rfam says of the family: Transfer RNA (tRNA) molecules are approximately 80 nucleotides in length. Their secondary structure includes four short double-helical elements and three loops (D, anti-codon, and T loops). Further hydrogen bonds mediate the characteristic L-shaped molecular structure. tRNAs have two regions of fundamental functional importance: the anti-codon, which is responsible for specific mRNA codon recognition, and the 3' end, to which the tRNAs corresponding amino acid is attached (by aminoacyl-tRNA synthetases). tRNAs cope with the degeneracy of the genetic code in two manners: having more than one tRNA (with a specific anti-codon) for a particular amino acid; and 'wobble' base-pairing, i.e. permitting non-standard base-pairing at the 3rd anti-codon position. RNAcentral also lists the same sequence under 1 other name. The record is from RNAcentral. Lineage: Archaea; Methanobacteriati; Methanobacteriota; Methanomicrobia; Methanomicrobiales; Methanomicrobiaceae.
GCCGAGAUAGUCUAGUCCGGUAAGGCGGUGGCCUUGAAAGCCACUGGUGAUUCCACCUCAGGAGUUCAAAUCUCCUUCUCGGCG